UACGUAGGGGGCGAGCGUUAUCCGGAUUUACUGGGCGUAAAGCGCGUUAAGGCGGUUGGCAAAGUUGGUUGUGAAAUCUCAGGGCUCAACCCUGAAAUUGCGACCAAUACUGGUCGACUAGAGUGCAAGAGAGGAAGGUGGAAUUCCCGGUGUAGUAGUGAAAUGCGUAGAUAUCGGGAGGAACACCGGUGGCGAAGGCGGCGACCUGGGUAGAUACGUGACGCUGAGGUGCGAAAGCGUGGGGAGCAAACGGG
RNAcentral lists this ribosomal RNA (254 nucleotides) under uncultured bacterium. Its description in RNAcentral is "partial 16S ribosomal RNA". It matches the Rfam family "Bacterial small subunit ribosomal RNA", at positions 524 to 776 of the family's 1533-position model. The record is from RNAcentral.